This 202-nucleotide unclassified non-coding RNA is filed under the name Hevea brasiliensis (rubber tree). The record is from RNAcentral. Lineage: Eukaryota; Viridiplantae; Streptophyta; Magnoliopsida; Malpighiales; Euphorbiaceae.
AAAAAAGAUUGCACAGGUAAUUGUCCAUUGUAAAUGUUUGAUGUUAUGAUGGAUCAGUGUAAAAAUACUUGGAGGAAGAUGAUAAAAGUUUUGUGUACUUUCCAUGAUAAUUUUAAAAUAUGCUACAAGACUACAAUUACUUUCAUGUCUGAACUUAGUUCAUUUCUUCAUUUUGAAUAUGAUAAAAACCCAGUGUUAUGAU